ACCUACGGGAGGCAGCAGUGAGGAAUAUUGGUCAAUGGGCGGUAGCCUGAACCAGCCAAGUAGCGUGAAGGAUGAAGGUUCUAUGGGUUGUAAACUUCUUUUAUAAAGGAAUAAAGUGAGGCACGUGUGCCUUUUUGUAUGUACUUUAUGAAUAAGGAUCGGCUAACUCCGUGCCAGCAGCCGCGGUAAUACGGAGGAUCCGAGCGUUAUCCGGAUUUAUUGGGUUUAAAGGGAGCGUAGAUGGGUUGUUAAGUCAGUUGUGAAAGUUUGCGGCUCAACCGUAAAAUUGCAAUUGAUACUGGCGU
RNAcentral lists this ribosomal RNA (305 nucleotides) under uncultured bacterium. Its description in RNAcentral is "bacterial SSU rRNA". It matches the Rfam family "Bacterial small subunit ribosomal RNA", at positions 337 to 639 of the family's 1533-position model. The record is from RNAcentral.